Molecule: ribosomal RNA, 497 nt
Filed under: uncultured bacterium
Lineage: Bacteria
Description: partial 16S ribosomal RNA
Rfam family: Bacterial small subunit ribosomal RNA
Source: RNAcentral
GAUGAACGCUGGCGGCGUGCCUAAUACAUGCAAGUCGAGCGAACAGACGAGGAGCUUGCUCCUCUGACGUUAGCGGCGGACGGGUGAGUAACACGUGGAUAACCUACCUAUAAGACUGGGAUAACUUCGGGAAACCGGAGCUAAUACCGGAUAAUCUAUUGAACCGCAUGGUUCAAUAGUGAAAGACGGUUUUGCUGUCACUUAUAGAUGGAUCCGCGCCGCAUUAGCUAGUUGGUAAGGUAACGGCUUACCAAGGCGACGAUGCGUAGCCGACCUGAGAGGGUGAUCGGCCACACUGGAACUGAGACACGGUCAAGACUCCUACGGGAGGCAGCAGUAGGGAAUCUUCCGCAAUGGGCGAAAGCCUGACGGAGCAACGCCGCGUGAGUGAUGAAGGUCUUCGGAUCGUAAAAAUCUGUUAUUAGGGAAGAACAAAUGUGGAAGUAACUAUGCACGUCUUGACGGUACCUAAUCAGAAAGCCACGGCUAACUACGUG